This 750-nucleotide ribosomal RNA is filed under the name uncultured bacterium. Its description in RNAcentral is "bacterial SSU rRNA". It matches the Rfam family "Bacterial small subunit ribosomal RNA", at positions 28 to 776 of the family's 1533-position model. The record is from RNAcentral.
AUUGAACGCUGGCGGCAGGCUUAACACAUGCAAGUCGAGCGAUGAAGGUACUGCUUGCAGUACUGGAUUAGCGGCGGACGGGUGCGUAAUACUUAGGAAUCUGCCCAGUAGUGGGGGACAACACGGGGAAACUCGUGCUAAUACCGCAUACGCCCUACGGGGGAAAGGAGGCUUUUAGCUCUCGCUAUUGGAUGAGCCUAAGCAAGAUUAGCUAGUUGGUGGGGUAAAGGCCUACCAAGGCGACGAUCUUUAGCUGGUCUGAGAGGAUGAUCAGCCACACUGGGACUGAGACACGGCCCAGACUCCUACGGGAGGCAGCAGUGGGGAAUAUUGGACAAUGGGGGAAACCCUGAUCCAGCCAUGCCGCGUGUGUGAAGAAGGCCUUUUGGUUGUAAAGCACUUUAAGCAGGGAGGAAAGCUGAUGAGUUAAUACCUCAUUAGUGUGACGUUACCUGCAGAAUAAGCACCGGCUAACUCUGUGCCAGCAGCCGCGGUAAUACAGAGGGUGCGAGCGUUAAUCGGAAUUACUGGGCGUAAAGCGCGCGUAGGCGGUUUGGUCAGUCAGAUGUGAAAGCCCCGGGCUCAACCUGGGAACUGCAUCUGAUACUGCCAGACUAGAGUAUAGGAGAGGAAAGUAGAAUUCCAGGUGUAGCGGUGAAAUGCGUAGAGAUCUGGAGGAAUACCGAUGGCGAAGGCAGCUUUCUGGCCUAAUACUGACGCUGAGGUGCGAAAGCGUGGGUAGCAAACGGG